UACGAGGGGUGCAAGCGUUGCUCGGAAUUAUUGGGCGUAAAGGGUAGGUAGGUGGUCUCAUUUGUCUGGGGUGAAAGCCUUGAGCUUAACUCAAGAAGUGCCCUAGAAACGGUGAGACUAGAGUCCUGGAGAGGGUCGUGGAAUUCCCGGUGUAGCGGUGAAAUGCGUAGAGAUCGGGAGGAACACCAGCGGCGAAGGCGGCGACCUGGACAGGUACUGACACUCAAAUACGAAAGCGUGGGGAGCAAACAGG
Molecule: ribosomal RNA, 253 nt
Filed under: uncultured bacterium
Lineage: Bacteria
Description: partial 16S ribosomal RNA
Rfam family: Bacterial small subunit ribosomal RNA
Source: RNAcentral